Molecule: ribosomal RNA, 449 nt
Filed under: uncultured bacterium
Lineage: Bacteria
Description: partial 16S ribosomal RNA
Rfam family: Bacterial small subunit ribosomal RNA
Source: RNAcentral
AGCGAACGCUGGCGGCAGGCUUAACACAUGCAAGUCGAACGCCCCGCAAGGGGAGUGGCAGACGGGUGAGUAACACGUGGGAACGUACCCUUUGGUUCGGAAUAACUUGGGGAAACUCAAGCUAAUACCGGAUAAGCCCUUAUGGGGGAAAGGUUUAGCUGCCGAAGGAUCGGCCCGCGUCUGAUUAGCUAGUUGGUGAGGUAAUGGCUCACCAAGGCGACGAUCAGUAGCUGGUCUGAGAGGAUGAUCAGCCACACUGGGACUGAGACACGGCCCAGACUCCUACGGGAGGCAGCAGUGGGGAAUAUUGGACAAUGGGGGCAACCCUGAUCCAGCCAUGCCGCGUGAGUGAUGAAGGCCUUAGGGUUGUAAAGCUCUUUUACCCGGGACGAUAAUGACUGUACCGGGAGAAUAAGCCCCGGCUAACUUCGUGCCAGCCGCCGCGGUAA